This 72-nucleotide transfer RNA is filed under the name Ipomoea nil (Japanese morning glory). It matches the Rfam family "tRNA". From Rfam's summary of the family: Transfer RNA (tRNA) molecules are approximately 80 nucleotides in length. Their secondary structure includes four short double-helical elements and three loops (D, anti-codon, and T loops). Further hydrogen bonds mediate the characteristic L-shaped molecular structure. tRNAs have two regions of fundamental functional importance: the anti-codon, which is responsible for specific mRNA codon recognition, and the 3' end, to which the tRNAs corresponding amino acid is attached (by aminoacyl-tRNA synthetases). tRNAs cope with the degeneracy of the genetic code in two manners: having more than one tRNA (with a specific anti-codon) for a particular amino acid; and 'wobble' base-pairing, i.e. permitting non-standard base-pairing at the 3rd anti-codon position. The record is from Rfam by way of RNAcentral. Lineage: Eukaryota; Viridiplantae; Streptophyta; Magnoliopsida; Solanales; Convolvulaceae.
GGGUAUUUGGUCUAGUGGUAUGAUUCUCGCUUUGGGUGUGAGAGGUCUUGAGUUUGAUUCUUUGAAUGCCCC